GUUUGUGUAAGUUAUUUAAACUAAAGACCUGUGGAGUCUUAAAUCGAUUUUGUUUCGCCAAAUCC
Molecule: transfer RNA, 65 nt
Filed under: Sagaminopteron nigropunctatum
Lineage: Eukaryota; Metazoa; Mollusca; Gastropoda; Cephalaspidea; Gastropteridae
Description: tRNA-His
Source: RNAcentral